This 265-nucleotide long non-coding RNA is filed under the name Homo sapiens (human). RNAcentral describes it as "HSALNT0077459". Lineage: Eukaryota; Metazoa; Chordata; Mammalia; Primates; Hominidae. The record is from RNAcentral.
GUAAUCCUAUAUGAAUAGAAAUACAAGGAAAACAUGAUUUAACAGUAGGGAAACAUAAAGAAGAUACAACAAUUUUAUUUCUCCUGGUGAUGUUUCUUUGCAAGUGGCUUUGGUCAAAGAGAAGGUCAAUGAGAAUGUCUGGAAAAUGGAUUCCAUCUGUUCACAAGAGUACAUGAAGAGGGGAAGGUUGUCAUUGUGUACAGACUGGAGAAUCAGACCUAAACAAAACCCAGAGUUAAGGAGGAAACCUGUUCAGAAGACAAAC